GGCUUCAGGGGCCUGAGGCUGCAGGGCACGUCUGUCCCCGAGCAGGUCUGCAUGGCCGCAGGCGAGCUUCCUGGCUGGGCUGCCUCCAGCCCGCUUCUCAGUCCCUCAUGGACAUUCUCUCACUAUAAACUAUCCUUUUCCACUCAAGACAGCCAGAGAUGGUUUCUGUUGCAACUCCGAGUCCUGACCUUGGGAUGGCUGCUUUUGAGGAGUGGUGAGAGAGGAGGCUGCGUGAGGCCCUUGUGAUGAUGUUUUGAGCAGUAUGUCCAUCUGGGCACAGUUUACCCAGGGAAAAGUUAUACUUGUCAAAGGUUGCUGCCUCAGGUUACAUGGUUCUGGGAUAGAGAAGAAAGGCUGCUGCUGCUGCUAAGUCACUUCAGUCGUGUCCAACUCUGUGCGACCCCAUAGACGGCAGCCCACCAGGCUCCGCCGUCCCUGGGAUUCUCCAGGGAAGAACAAUGGAGUGGGUUGCAAUUUCCUUCUCCAAUGCAUGAAAGUGAAAAGUGAACGUGAAGUCCCUCAGUCGUGUCGGACUCUUCGUGACCCCAUGGACUGCAAGCUACCAGGCUCCUCCAUCCAUGGGAUUUUCCAAGCAGCAGGUUCUAAAUUAGCUUUUUACUGUUAGCCCUCCCACCUGAGCCUUGUGGACCAAUGGCUAUCGCCCGUCAAUCAAGUAACUCACUUCUCUGGGGGCGGGAGCACGCGUGUCACGUGCUCGCAGUCUCUCUCCAGGGAAACGCGAGACAAGAGAAUAAACGUUCCUGGCCCAGUAGCACCGUAGGAUUCCAUUUCUGUUUUUAAAAAAUGCGUGUAUGUUGGUGGAAAUAGAUGUGAGGCCUGGAGCAGAAGCAGUCGCCUUGUGACCACGGGGAUCACUGCCUUAUGCUGAGAG
Long non-coding RNA from Bos taurus (domestic cattle), 892 nucleotides. Lineage: Eukaryota; Metazoa; Chordata; Mammalia; Artiodactyla; Bovidae. The record is from Ensembl.